GGCGAGAGAACUGCUAUCUACUGCUUAACGCAGAAUGAGUGGAGACUAGACGAGGCCACGGACAGCUUCUUCCAAAACCCAGACUCGUUCCACAGGGAGUCCAUGCGGAACGCUGUGGACAAGAAGAAGCUGGAGCGGUUGUACGGCAGGUACAAAGAUCCACAAGAUGAAAACAAAAUUGGAAUCGAUGGGAUUCAACAGUUUUGUGAUGAUCUGAGCCUGGAUCCUGCCAGUAUCAGUGUAUUGGUCAUAGCAUGGAAGUUCAGGGCCGCAACUCAGUGUGAAUUUAGCAGAAAGGAAUUUCUAGAUGGCAUGACAGAACUUGGGUAAGUCAAUUAUUCUUAGCUUAAAUGUUUUCAGAAAUGAAAAUACUUCUAACAUUAUUUUUCAGCAACCUGUACCUACUAAUUUCAUAUCUGCUUAUUUUCUUUGUGU
RNAcentral lists this small RNA (435 nucleotides) under Pongo abelii (Sumatran orangutan). RNAcentral describes it as "processed transcript". Lineage: Eukaryota; Metazoa; Chordata; Mammalia; Primates; Hominidae. The record is from RNAcentral.